UCCCUCUUAGCUCAGUUGGUAGAGCGCGUCACUAGUAUAGUCGACCAAAAGCACAAUUGAUGACGAGGUUAGUCGUUCAAGUCGGCUAGAGGGAA
Non-coding RNA from Armillaria fumosa, 95 nucleotides. NCBI's taxonomy places the organism in Eukaryota, Fungi, Basidiomycota, Agaricomycetes, Agaricales, Physalacriaceae. The record is from the annotation of a GenBank genome assembly.